CGGUGAAUACGUUCCCGGACCUUGCACACACCGCCCGUCAAGCCAUAGAAGCCGGGUGUACCUAAAGUCGAUAACCGCUAAGGAGUCGCCUAGGGUAAAACUGGUAACUGGGGCU
RNAcentral lists this ribosomal RNA (115 nucleotides) under uncultured bacterium. RNAcentral's name for it is "partial 16S ribosomal RNA". It matches the Rfam family "Bacterial small subunit ribosomal RNA", at positions 1360 to 1482 of the family's 1533-position model. The record is from RNAcentral.